GGAAAAGCAAGUAGACUGGCGACUAAACCCGAUUGGAAAGUGGCUGACUUGUGAAAGCAGGCUUGAGAGUUCGAAUCUCUCUUCUUCCGCCA
RNAcentral lists this transfer RNA (92 nucleotides) under Escherichia phage DaisyDussoix. Its description in RNAcentral is "tRNA-Ser". The record is from RNAcentral. Lineage: Duplodnaviria; Heunggongvirae; Uroviricota; Caudoviricetes; Demerecviridae.